AAGUCGUAACAAGGUUUCCGUAGGUGAACCUGCGGAAGGAUCAUUAUCACGUAUCCACGUAUAAACCAUUGUGAACCGUUUUUAACCUCCGCAAAUCCGAACCCUCGAAAAAGCAUGAGACGCAAGUUUCGUGUUUUGGAAAAGGGCCGGCGUAUACCGGAGUGUAUCUAUCUAUUAACCAUUUUAACCAAUCUUUAUAACUUUAUGAACUAACUUUAUUUCAUACUCUUCGGAGAUGAAAUUCAUUACGAAACAAAGAACAACUCUUAGCAACGGAUAUCUUGGUUCUC
Molecule: unclassified non-coding RNA, 290 nt
Filed under: fungal sp.
Lineage: Eukaryota; Fungi
Description: partial internal transcribed spacer region
Rfam family: Eukaryotic small subunit ribosomal RNA (bases 1-46)
Source: RNAcentral